RNAcentral lists this ribosomal RNA (1441 nucleotides) under Enterococcus durans. Its description in RNAcentral is "bacterial SSU rRNA". It matches the Rfam family "Bacterial small subunit ribosomal RNA". Lineage: Bacteria; Bacillati; Bacillota; Bacilli; Lactobacillales; Enterococcaceae. The record is from RNAcentral.
GUCGUACGCUUCUUUUUCCACCGGAGCUUGCUCCACCGGAAAAAGAAGAGUGGCGAACGGGUGAGUAACACGUGGGUAACCUGCCCAUCAGAAGGGGAUAACACUUGGAAACAGGUGCUAAUACCGUAUAACAAUCGAAACCGCAUGGUUUUGAUUUGAAAGGCGCUUUCGGGUGUCGCUGAUGGAUGGACCCGCGGUGCAUUAGCUAGUUGGUGAGGUAACGGCUCACCAAGGCCACGAUGCAUAGCCGACCUGAGAGGGUGAUCGGCCACAUUGGGACUGAGACACGGCCCAAACUCCUACGGGAGGCAGCAGUAGGGAAUCUUCGGCAAUGGACGAAAGUCUGACCGAGCAACGCCGCGUGAGUGAAGAAGGUUUUCGGAUCGUAAAACUCUGUUGUUAGAGAAGAACAAGGAUGAGAGUAACUGUUCAUCCCUUGACGGUAUCUAACCAGAAAGCCACGGCUAACUACGUGCCAGCAGCCGCGGUAAUACGUAGGUGGCAAGCGUUGUCCGGAUUUAUUGGGCGUAAAGCGAGCGCAGGCGGUUUCUUAAGUCUGAUGUGAAAGCCCCCGGCUCAACCGGGGAGGGUCAUUGGAAACUGGGAGACUUGAGUGCAGAAGAGGAGAGUGGAAUUCCAUGUGUAGCGGUGAAAUGCGUAGAUAUAUGGAGGAACACCAGUGGCGAAGGCGGCUCUCUGGUCUGUAACUGACGCUGAGGCUCGAAAGCGUGGGGAGCAAACAGGAUUAGAUACCCUGGUAGUCCACGCCGUAAACGAUGAGUGCUAAGUGUUGGAGGGUUUCCGCCCUUCAGUGCUGCAGCUAACGCAUUAAGCACUCCGCCUGGGGAGUACGACCGCAAGGUUGAAACUCAAAGGAAUUGACGGGGGCCCGCACAAGCGGUGGAGCAUGUGGUUUAAUUCGAAGCAACGCGAAGAACCUUACCAGGUCUUGACAUCCUUUGACCACUCUAGAGAUAGAGCUUCCCCUUCGGGGGCAAAGUGACAGGUGGUGCAUGGUUGUCGUCAGCUCGUGUCGUGAGAUGUUGGGUUAAGUCCCGCAACGAGCGCAACCCUUAUUGUUAGUUGCCAUCAUUUAGUUGGGCACUCUAGCAAGACUGCCGGUGACAAACCGGAGGAAGGUGGGGAUGACGUCAAAUCAUCAUGCCCCUUAUGACCUGGGCUACACACGUGCUACAAUGGGAAGUACAACGAGUCGCGAAGUCGCGAGGCUAAGCUAAUCUCUUAAAGCUUCUCUCAGUUCGGAUUGUAGGCUGCAACUCGCCUACAUGAAGCCGGAAUCGCUAGUAAUCGCGGAUCAGCACGCCGCGGUGAAUACGUUCCCGGGCCUUGUACACACCGCCCGUCACACCACGAGAGUUUGUAACACCCGAAGUCGGUGAGGUAACCUUUUGGAGCCAGCCGCCUAAGGUGGGAUAGAUGA